Non-coding RNA from Lolium perenne, 5379 nucleotides. Lineage: Eukaryota; Viridiplantae; Streptophyta; Magnoliopsida; Poales; Poaceae. The record is from RefSeq and is a predicted model, not a curated record.
UCGAGCUGAUGUGGCGCGAUCUCGGCCGGCCGUUUGUCCAGGGCGCUGAGGCCCUCCCACAGACCCACUUUUUAUCCAUGGGUCGUGUGAAAGCCCGCUCGGCCCAGACUCUCGCGUCGGGCGUGGCUUCCUCUCCAAUCCCGUCGCUCCCUCUCCCCUUCCAAUCCCGCAGAUGCAGCCGCCGCCUCCCCAGCUCCCUCUCCCUGCUGCCGAGCUCGCCUUCAGCCGCCGCUCGCCCCGCAACCGCGUGUCGUCGGACGGCGGAGAUGGCUGGGGCGGGCGGGAGAGCGCCGCCCAAUCCCCUCACGCUUCGCCUCCUCUCCCAAUCCCACCACGUCUCUCCUGCUCCUCCCUCCUCUCCCUUGGCAAGAAGACGAAGGGGGACCGGCAGAUCGAGCGGGCGACCAUGCCGGGAUGCGGAGAAGGGGGGCGUUGGGGCGGCGCUUGCUGAGCAGGAGGGCGUCCCUCGUGCUCCUCGUGCGCCGCCACUCCUCGUCGCGUCCGUCGUCCUUUCCGGCUGCUGCUCCUCCAACUCGACCACUUCGCCUCGUCUCCCCCGGCCGUGAGGAUCUCCGCCCUCUCCUUCGCGAGCGGAGGCUGCACAUCCAGCCGAGGUUCCAGGGAGAUGCAGGUCCAAGCUCCUAUGCCUUCCUCACCUGGCCAUCUCUGCGUGCACGGAGACCGUCCGGCCGGGCAGGUUGUUGAUUGAUUGCCGCUCGUGUUGCUGCUGCUUCUCAUCUUCAUUCUACCCUCCAUUCAUUCAAUGGAGGAGCACAUUUGAUUAACGAGGUCAACAAUCCAGGCCAAGAAAGGCAGCCUGAAAGGAGGUUUAACCAGGCAUUACUUGUCUCUGAGUUGGUAAAAGCGACCCGACGAGGACGCAGAGGGAUGGAGGAGGAGGCGGUCCUGUUCGCCGUCGAUGCCCGGGCCAAACAAAGAGGCCCCGUUGUGCACGUCGCCCACGAGCAGCCGCCAAACCCUACCAGAGGGAAACACCAGCGGCAGCUCGACCGUGAUGUCCAGCCGCCGGUGAGAACUAGGAGGAGGACCCAGAUAAGGAGAUGCAUGGGCAGAAUGCAGAAGAGAAUGUGUGUGGGGAAGAAGAGGAGACCUUAGACCAAUUGGAUCAAUACCUGAUUUUCUGGGUCAAAUGCCAUCACUUAAAUUUAAAUUUCUGUAUGUGUUACUGUAUGGAAAGAAGAGGAAAUCCAUAGCAGACUACAGAACAACAGCAACUGCAGCUCAGUCUGCACUGACUUAGUUUCAGUUUAUCCUACAUCUAUGAAUUUUUUGUUAAUCAUUUGAAUUGCAUGGCUCUGGCCAUGGAGUUGCUGGGAGGCGAUAAUGAAGCUUGCCAUGUCCAGCUCGACGAUGACCGUCUUUUCAGAUGGAUACAUGGAGCUCAGGCCAUGGAUUUGCUGGGAGGUGAUAACGAAGCCUACCAUGUCUGGGUUGUUCUGUCCCCAUCCCUUCCCUCCAAUUCUGGAUUCAAUUCAUAUGUGCAAUCCAGAUGUGAGUUGACACUUUCAUGUGUUAUGUGUUCUCUGCUUGUUUGGUGACUAGGGAAACAUCAAACAUGACAUUCAGGCCAGCAAGGAGCACGAUAUGUUCAAUAUUAUGGCAUAAGAGGUGUAAUACUGACUCAUAUUGUUUGGGAUGAUUAAAUUCAGCCUUGCGUGCCGAAAUGACCCAACUGCUUUGAUGGGUACCAAUGUAUAAAGUGCAUGGGUUGCCCUCUUCGUUUCGUCUUGCUCCGUGGCAAUAUGGUUUCUGAUGCAUGUUUUGCUUAUCAUUACCAUCACAUGAUUCCUGCUUAUCUAAUUCUGCUAUAGAAUAUGAGUUCAGCACACUAUCGUUCCUCUGUUGAAUUUCAGUUGACCCAUUGAAAGUGGUGGUGAACAAGAGGAGCAUACUCGUGUAAGCAAAGAAUGACAGAGGGUGGCCAGAAACUGAUAGUUUAAACCUUGAAUACAGCUUGUGUUUUCCCCUUAUGUUUAUAGCUGUUACAUAUUCUGCAAUCCCUAAAAGAUUUUGUUCAUACUGUAGAAGAGCUGCCUUCUUGCUGGCUUCUUUUCAGUAUGAUCCAUUGAUAUAUUGCUCUAGCUUCUUAUGCAUUUGAAAAGUAGUUAUAUUCAUAGAGAUAGAGCAAGGGUGUGCAAGAAGUGAUUGUAUAAUCUGCAGCAUUGCAAUAUUAUUAUCACAUUCUCUCUGUAAGAAGCGUUUGUGUGGAGGUUGCAACCUGUACAAUAGAUACCGUGUCUGCUGUACUAUUUUAGAUUCAGUUUCAAAUCAGCCUACACAUUGCACAACCAAAACACAUAGAUAUAUGCAAUCUAUUGGUUUUACUAUUGUGCUUUAUUUGGAACUGAAUAAUUUGCUUUUGUCUUUUCAACUUAGGGCAAUCAGCCACUUAUGAAGGUGGCAACAGCAGAAGGUGCCGACGAGAAAGAGCAUGGGCUGCCGCUGGCUUUAGCACGACUUCGGCUGUACUGACAGACAGCGAGAGACUGCUGUUCUGCUCGCCAAGUGCUCGCAACACAAGAACAAAGCCAAGAAAUUUGCUACUCGAGCUGUAACUACUCAAGCAUUGACCCUUUUAGUGUUUUCUUUACUUUUUGAGGUUUAUCAUCAGGUCUGUACAUGCCCUGUUUUGCAUAAUGCAUCCCAUGCUUUGCUUGAUCCGUUGUUAUUCUGCUUCUAAGCCAAACGUUCUUCUAUUAUUGGCCCUCCUCUUAAAUUUUGUCACUUUGAAUGUAUAACUGAGUGGUAAUUAAUUGCAAGGUGAUACCAUUAUGAUAAAACUGAAUUUGUAAUAUCUAAUUUAUGCCACUUUAAAUGUAUAACAAUUUAGAACAAAUUUCUUCUUGCAAGAAUGGUUAGAAUAACUGAAUUAUGGUAAAAUUGAUAAUGUGUCGUUGUGAAUGCCGGACUAAGACAUUUCAGAUUGGGGCACUUAUGCCCUUCAUAUUCCUCUGUUUCGCUCUCUCUAUCGGUAGCUCACUAUAUGCCAUUCAUAUUCCUGGACCUAUUAGGAUCCAAAGCUGAUGCUCCAACCAUGAUUUCACUUUCUAAUAUUUUCUUUGCAUCUGUGUUGUCACUUGGUCUAGCCAGUACUUCACUGUGCUUACGUCAAUAGGUCUUACAGUGAUUGAACAAUUCUUGGUUAAACACAUAUAUUCAUAUGGCCAUUAAAUCUAUUUGCCUAAAGAUGGUAUGUAUUUGAGUUUCAUGGAAAAGCAUUGGUGCCUAUCAUAUAUGAGUCAGUUUACUUUACUAGGUUAUUCAAACUCUUCAAAUGGUAUUUGAUUUUGUAAAUUGUAUUUGUCUAUUAAAUAUGCAUAUUGGCAUUCAAGUUCCUCUAGGAUAUUUAGCUAACGAAGUUUCACUACCUUGUCUAUUAAAUAUGCAAGUUGACACAAAGUCGAUCAUAACAGGCCUUUCUAUAUUGGUUCCAUUGCACUCAUAAGCAGAACCAAUUUAUGUCCAAUACAGGAUUGGCAGCGUAGAACAUGGUCAGGAGGCCAAGAUUAUCACUUUAGAGUAUACUUGGUCUGCUUUCAUAUUCUGGUUGCGGUUACGCGGACUGCAGGAUUGGAUCAAUCUAUGUAGCAGCAAGAGAUUGAGGCAAUCCUUGGGAUUAUGCAAUAAAAUUGACAAAUUCAGUUCUUUCAUAUUAGGCUUCAGUAAUCCAGGGCAACCUGACAGCUCUUCCCUCUACACAUUUGGGUCAGGUGAUCGAUUGGAGAUUGAACAUGGCUUGCAACGACGGUUCAGGAUUGGGUCGAUCUAUGUACAUGCAGGAGGUUGAGGCGCUCCUUGUGAUUAAGCAUCAAAAGGGACAAACUCAGAAUUGUAGAUUAUUUCCAUGUUGUUUAAAGAGACAGGACAAUAAAAAGUUAUCUCUGUUCUCGAAAGUUAAAUGGACCUUGAGCCAUUUGAUCCAAUUUCCGUGGACAAAUUUAUGUUGUGGAACUUGAUGGGGUCAAAUCCAUGUGCCUCCAAAUCAUAAAGAAGAUGGUGUUUAAUAUAAGAAUGGGCAUACAUCUUGAUGUUCGCGCAGGCAUUGAAGAUUUAGGGUGGGGGUGCUAUCGUUAGUAGGCAAAGGGCAUUAGUAUGUGUGUGGCGGGAAUGUUUUGACAAUAACUACCAAGAAGAAAGAACUUCUCAGGUUUUCAUCACCUGUGUGAUUAUUAAAAGUGCUCUCCUUGGUUAAUUUUUCUGGCCUCCGGGAGUCAUUUCUGGAUUUAACGAGUCAUUUCUGGAUUUAACUACAUUCGUAGGGAUUGCCAUACAAAUUAUGAUAGUUUCAAAAUGACUUCAUCUCCUUAAUCCCAACAUAUCAAUAAAGAAAAAUUUACCCAGUGGUGUAGUGUGGCUAAUCAAUUGUAGGUGGUUUAAAAGCCCUUGAUGGUAUUAGUGCACCCCUAUGUACUUGACAAUUCCUUCCUUAUUUUUCUCUGUAGCACCUUUAGUUCAUUUAUAUGACAGUGGUAAUUCAAGGAGACGACAAAUAUUAUUGCAUAGUCUACAUUAAAUAUGUCAAAAGGUGUUACUUUUAUGGUCUCAAUUGCAUAAACAGUUAUAUUUGGCACACCGAAGGUAUAUAUUUUAACGUACUUUUAUGGUCUCUUUACGUGACUACAGAAAACUUGGCGAUGGCUACUAUAUUGUUUACGUUGCCACGUAAUUGCCGAUGGAUCAUGUCUAUUUCCUCUUUACGUCGCCACAUAAUUACCAAUUUAUCACAUUAGGCAAACUCUUCUACCCGUGACGAGAUUGGUUCAGUUCUUCGUACCUCAACAUUCCUUGCAUGUGUUUCAAGCCUAGAUUCAUUGACGCAGGGGGCUCGGUGUCACGUCUGGUGGCCAAGCACGAAGUCAAAGCUACACAUGCUGCUAAUGGAGACUUGCAACUUUCAUAUAUUUUCCAUUUUACUCUAUUUUCCUCCACUAUUAACAGGUUGGAGCUAUAUGGCAGCCAACAAGUUCAUUAAUAUCUCUGUUACGGCCAUCGCUAUCUUCCAUUUCACAAUAUGUGCCUUCUUAUAAUGUUAUCAUGCAGAUGCCAAUUCAUUUCUCUGUCCAUAUAGCUUUGAGAAGGUCAGCAUAGCUGUUUGUUUGAGGCUCAACGGUGAUACCAGCCUUUGAUUGAAGCUUUGCUUUUUUGUUUUCCCAGGAGCCUUAGCUUUUAGUGUUAUUAAUUUAUCAUGGAUGUUUGUUUUGUGUUCUUCACAUUCCAUGGACUACAAAGAAUAUGUGUUAUUCCAUUUAUAGUCGUUUGGUACAUCUAAAGUGGAGACCAGUGAAACAUCUAUAUGCAUUUGUUCAUGUUAUGUGUGAUAUAUUUCCCUACAUUCUCUAUAUCGAGUUGUAUGCUUAA